GAGUUUGAUCCUGGCUCAGGAUGAACGCUAGCUACAGGCUUAACACAUGCAAGUCGAGGGGCAGCAUUAUCGGAGCUUGCUUUGAUAGAUGGCGACCGGCGCACGGGUGAGUAACGCGUAUCCAACCUUCCCCUUAGUAGAGGAUAGCCCGGCGAAAGUCGGAUUAAUACUCUAUGUUGUAUUUUGAGGACAUCUGACGAAUACCAAAGAUUUAUCGCUAAGGGAUGGGGAUGCGUCUGAUUAGCUUGUCGGCGGGGUAACGGCCCACCGAGGCAACGACCAGUAGGGGUUCUGAGAGGAAGGUCCCCCACAUUGGUACUGAGACACGGACCAAACUCCUACGGGAGGCAGCAGUGAGGAAUAUUGGUCAAUGGGCGUAGGCCUGAACCAGCCAAGUAGCGUGCAGGAAGACUGCCCUAUGGGUUGUAAACUGCUUUUAUGCGGGAAUAAAGUCAGGUACGCGUACCUGUUUGCAUGUACCGCAUGAAUAAGGACCGGCUAAUUCCGUGCCAGCAGCCGCGGUAAUACGGAAGGUCCGGGCGUUAUCCGGAUUUAUUGGGUUUAAAGGGAGCGCAGGCGGAGGAUUAAGCGUGACGUGAAAUGUCCCGGCUCAACCGUGGAACUGCGUCGCGAACUGGUUUUCUUGAGUGAGUGCGACGUCGGCGGAAUUCGUGGUGUAGCGGUGAAAUGCUUAGAUAUCACGAAGAACCCCGAUUGCGAAGGCAGCCGACGAGUCCUUAACUGACGCUAAAGCUCGAAAGUGCGGGUAUCGAACAGGAUUAGAUACCCUGGUAGUCCGCACGGUAAACGA
Molecule: ribosomal RNA, 811 nt
Filed under: uncultured bacterium
Lineage: Bacteria
Description: bacterial SSU rRNA
Rfam family: Bacterial small subunit ribosomal RNA
Source: RNAcentral